Molecule: ribosomal RNA, 180 nt
Filed under: uncultured Glomeromycotina
Lineage: Eukaryota; Fungi; Glomeromycota
Description: partial small subunit ribosomal RNA
Source: RNAcentral
GACCUGGUCGGGCGGUCUGCCUCACGGUACGUACUGUCCGACCGGGCCUUACCUCUUGGUGAGCCGGCAUGCCCUUUACUGGGUGUGUCGGGGAACCAGGACUUUUACCUUGAGAAAAUUAGAGUGUUCAAAGCAGGCCUAUGCCCGAAUACAUUAGCAUGGAAUAAUAGAAUAGGACGU